CCUACGGGUGGCUGCAGUAGGGAAUAUUGGACAAUGGGCGCAAGCCUGAUCCAGCCAUCCCGCGUGAAGGAUUAAGGCCCUCUGGGUUGUAAACUUCUUUUCUUUGGGAAUAAAAACUCCGAUUCAUCGGAGCUUGAAGGUACCAGAGGAAUAAGCACCGGCUAACUCCGUGCCAGCAGCCGCGGUAAUACGGAGGGUGCAGGCGUUAUCCGGAUUAACUGGGUUGUAGGGGUGUUUGUAAGUCUGUGGUGAAAGCCCGGAGCUCAACUCCGGAACUGCCAUUGAUACUGCUUAGCUUGAAUCAGGGCGAGGUGGAUGGAAUAUUACAUGUAGCGGUGAAAUGCUUAGAUAUGUAAUAGAACACCGAUUGCGAAGGCAGUUCACUAGGCCUGUAUUGACACUGAGGCACGAAAGCGUGGGGAUCAAACAGGAUUAGAUACCCCAGUAGUC
This 450-nucleotide ribosomal RNA is filed under the name uncultured bacterium. RNAcentral describes it as "partial 16S ribosomal RNA". It matches the Rfam family "Bacterial small subunit ribosomal RNA", at positions 338 to 795 of the family's 1533-position model. The record is from RNAcentral.